AUUUCUUUUUAAUUUUGUUUUGGUGGGAAGGAAAUUUAUGAGAAAGUUGAGUUGCUCGCUUACAAUCUCUCUUUAGUUGCUCUCUUGUAGAGGUGUUUUAGUCUCGUGCGCGGCGAAGGUUCGAAACCUGCUGCGUAUAAACAUUUCUGGUCUACAGUUCGAAUCCCCAGGAGCUUAGGCAACAGGUUGAUAAGAUAACAUGGAUUCUUCAUAUCUUAUUCCACCUGCAAAGCGUAGCUAUGAUUGGGAACCUUCUGAAGCCAAUGGCAGAGAAAAGCGGCGGCCUUCAGCAACUUCUUGGGGCCCACCACCUCUGAAGAUAGGUCCCGAUGAAACAAUUUUCCGCAUUCUUUGUAAUGGGUCUAAGACUGGAGGUGUCAUUGGAAAAGGAGGUAGCAUUGUGAAGCAAAUAAGGCAGGAAACAGGUGCUAAGAUUAGAAUUGAAGAGGGUGUUCCUGGUUGCGAUGAGAGAGUAGUUGUUAUUGUGGCACCUGAAAAGGAGAAAAAAGAAGGCAAGGAAGAAAAUGUGGUAGCUGAGAGCAAUACACAGAUAAAGGAAGAUGCCAAUGAGGAUACUGAUGAAAAGGAACAAGACGAAACUGAGGCAGAUGAAAAGGCACCUGAAACUGAUAAAGAGGCAAAAAAAGAGAAAGCAUUAGCUCCAGCACAAGAGGCAUUGCUUCGAGUUCUUCACAGGAUACUAGAGGGAGAGUCUGAUGCAAAGACUGACGAGGAUGCCGACAAAAAAACAGCUCCAGUAAUUGCUCGAUUGCUGGUUCCUACCAAUCAAGUUGGUUGUGUGCUUGGCAAAGGCGGAAAGAUUAUUCAACAAAUUCGUGCAGAAAGUGGUGCACAAAUCCGUAUUCUUUCAAGAGAACAGCUGCCAGCAUGUGCCUUACCCACUGACGAAGUGGUGCAGAUUACAGGAGAUGUAGCUUCUGUUAAAAAGGCUCUUUUAUCUGUUUCCGAUCGCCUUCGUGAGAAUCCUCCUCGUGAUAGGGAUCACAUGCCUGCCUCUAGAUCUGGAGGUCCUUUCGCACAUGGGGAUUUAUUUCCUUCUCGAAAGAGUUCCUCACUGGUUCAAGGGCUUCCAUUUGGUGGUGUUGGGUCAGGUGCCACUGUUGACUAUCAUUUGAAGGGUCCAGUUUCCAAGUUUCAUGAAGCUGGUCCUAAUUACAAUCAGAGAGGACCUAUGCAGGAGGAAAUUACAUUUCGAUUGUUGUGUUCAAAUGAAAAGGUUGGAGGCAUCAUUGGAAAGGGAGGUAGUAUAAUAAAGGGUCUUCAACGGGAUACAGGUUCUGACAUUAAAAUUGCGGAGUCUGUACCUGAUGAAGAUGAACGAGUUGUCAUAAUUACGGCAUCUGCGUUUUCAGAAGGAGGGCUUUCUCCUGUUCAGAAUGCUGUCCUUCGUGUUUUUAAUCGGAUUAUCAGUUCCGUGCCAGAGAAAGAUAAGCAUUCAACUGCUAGACUUCUUGUGCCCUCCAACCAGAUUGGGUGCUUGCUUGGAAAAGGUGGUAGCAUAAUAUCUGACAUGAGAAGAGCAAGUGGAGCAGGUAUCCGAAUUUUUGGAAAAGAUCAGCUUCCAAAGUGUGCUUCGCAAAAUGAUGAAGUUGUUCAGGUAACUGGUGAUCCAGAGGCAGUUCAAGAAGCACUUGUCCAAAUCACCUCACGCUUGCAAAACAAUUUAUUCCCGGGUAACACAGGUCCAAUUGGAGGUGUUGGAAUGUACCCUGAGCCCAUGGCUCCAGUUCCUGGUCCAAUAGCGCAAUAUAGGGGAAGACCUGAACCUGCAUCCCCUCCUGGAAUGUACUCCCGGCUAGGUGGAUCUAUGCAGGACAUGGAUCAAUCAGGUAGACUUCCCCCAACUGUUGAUCGCCCAGGUUUCCCUCCCAGCAUUCAUCGACCAGGAGGAAUGCCUCACAAUAUUGAUCAGCCACCUUCUCCAGGACCAUGGGCGAUGCAGGGUAUGAACAGUGGCAGUGGAAGGAAUAUUACUGACUAUGGGAGAGGAUAUCCUCAAAGAGGAAGUUUGGGGAGUGGAAGUCAAUCAGCUGUUGUAACAAGCACAACUGUUGAGGUGGUGGUUCCUGAACGUGUCAUUGGAUCUAUCUAUGGGGAAAAUGGGAGCAACCUAGCUCAGAUUCGUAAGAUUUCUGGGGCAAAAGUUAUAAUGCAUGACCCAAGACCUGGAGCUACUGAAGGUUUGGUUGUAAUAUCUGGGACGCCAGAACAAACUCAUGCUGCCCAAAGCCUUCUUCAAGCAUUUAUUAUGAGUGGGCAAUCCUCACCAUGAUUAUGUACCUUUGUUAAAGAAUGGAUGAUCCAAAACGACUGUUUUAUGUUUGAAAUCUUGCCUGCUGCUGAAUACUUCACUCGGACAAUCAUUGGUUUUGCAAUUUGAUGCUCUAUCCAAGCCUGAAAUUAUAGUCUUCACUUGGAUUCUGUAGUGGAGUAUUUUACUCUCAGUCUACAUUUACAAUAUAGACAGUACAAACUGUUUGGUGUUACAACCUUGACAAUUUCAUUGGCUUCAAGAAAAGUCAUCUAGGAAAUGUGAGGAUAUCUUGGAUAUUUGAGUCUCUUUGUAAUUGCAGGGGUUUACUGGAAUACCCUACUAGGCCAAAGCAUAAGCUUAAUUAUUUAGUGUCGAAAGAUGCCACUAACAAAAUUGUGCUGAUUAGCAUGAGGAUGACACAGCUUUGUCUGUGGCAUGAAAAUGGAAAAUGAGGUUGGAUCAUGAGUCUUGAUAUCAAAAGUGUUGAUUCAUUAACCCAUGUUUGCUUCAGCUAAUGCUAGAAAUUAAUGCUAUUUUAGAGAUGGUAGGCUCUAUUCAAUUAUUGUAGAAUUAAUAGUGUAUCCUUAAAAUGAUCAAUUUUUUGGGAGUAGGGAUCUAUUUUUUGGAUAUGCGGGAUGUAAUUUUGUAAAUAAAUUGUACUGUCUCGUCCACAUUGGCCAGCAAAAUCAAAUGAUGAGUUAGUUGAAACCCUCUACCAAAAUAGGAACCACUUUAAAAAUGAUUUGGUAGGCAAGACACAUUGAGGUCAAGUGCUUGCUCUUGCCACGUGGCAUUUUUUCUUUUGGAUUUUUAAGUAGUUUUCACUCCUUUAGUCAAAGGUACUACUGUUUGUAGUGAGUCAUAAGAUCAUUGAGUACAAUCUUUUAAUAAUCCUUCCUUGGUCAAUGAUUUUAAGUACUUAUCUCUCCAUUAUCCUAAGUUACUACAAUUUUAACUGCACCUCUUUUUUUCAUGUCUCCAUUUUCUGGGACUGAAUGUUUAUGUUUCGUGUUUGUAUGCCUAGUUAUUUUUCAUCAUGUUCUCUUCAUUUUCCUCUCGCCAUCGAGUGCAUCUAUUCUUCUAUAUUUGUAGGUCAAUAAUAAAUAUCAUUUGCAAAAGCCUUUAUGGUUGCCAUCUCUCUAAAAUGGUAUUUGAAGUUAUUAUUUUUUUCUAAGAGUUGUGUUUGCUAGUUACCAUUUCUUUGCCUGGAGCCACAGAGCGAACAGCUUUGCCAAAAUUAUAUUACAUGAUUAUCAAACCCUAUUUAUAUUCUUGUUUAUAUACCAUUGCAUUUAAGUCUGUUAGUAUCAAUGAGCUUUUAUUGCGAUCUUUAAAGAUUAUUAAAUAUGAAAUUUGAGUUGUGUUGCUAUACAUAUUUUAAACAUUUCUUCCACUUUAUCCGAUAAUGGAGGCUUUGGAUGACAUAAAUUUAUAGAUUAAAAACAUUUCUAAGAGGAGUGCAAUGUAGUGAGCUAAAAUUUAUAAUGUUUGUUUAGUGAAGCAUUGUGGUGGCAAAUUCUGUCAAAGGACCCAUCUGCAACAAGACUUGCAAUCUUUCCUUUGUUGAUGUGACCUGGAAGAAACAAGCUUUUUUAUUAAAGGGGAGGAUUGAUUCAGCAUGUGAAUGGCCAGCCUACCUUCAAUUUGCUAUGUUUUAUUCUUAACUUCGUAUUAGUUUCUUUUUGGAAAUAUUUGUAUGUAUAAGAUUGUUUUCCUAAUUGUAAAUUCACCUGUCUUGUGGAGUUCUUAUGCAAGGUUGCAAUCUAGUCAAGUGAACUGAAUUUUCUUGUGAA
Cryptomeria japonica (Japanese cedar) is the source of this 4068-nucleotide RNA transcript. It is a transcript of the gene named KH domain-containing protein HEN4, with no coding region annotated. The transcript has 10 exons. Lineage: Eukaryota; Viridiplantae; Streptophyta; Pinopsida; Cupressales; Cupressaceae. The record is from RefSeq and is a predicted model, not a curated record.